UAGGGCGUAAGCGCGCGCAGGCGGCUUCUUAAGUCUGAUGUGAAAUCUCGGGGCUCAACCCCGAGCGGCCAUUGGAAACUGGGGAGCUUGAGUGCAGAAGAGGAGAGUGGAAUUCCACGUGUAGCGGUGAAAUGCGUAGAGAUGUGGAGGAACACCAGUGGCGAAGGCGACUCUCUGGUCUGUAACUGACGCUGAGGCGCGAAAGCGUGGGGAGCAAACAGGAUUAGAUACCCUGGUAGUCCACGCCGUAAACGAUGAGUGCUAGGUGUUAGGGGUUUCGAUGCCCGUAGUGCCGAAGUUAACACAUUAAGCACUCCGCCUGGGGAGUACGGCCGCAAGGCUGAAACUCAAAGGAAUUGACGGGGGCCCGCACAAGCAGUGGAGCAUGUGGUUUAAUUCGAAGCAACGCGAAGAACCUUACCAGGUCUUGACAUCCUUUGACCACCCAAGAGAUUGGGCUUCCCCUUCGGGGGCAAAGUGACAGGUGGUGCAUGGUUGUCGUCAGCUCGUGUCGUGAGAUGUUGGGUUAAGUCCCGCAACGAGCGCAACCCUUGAUCUUAGUUGCCAGCAUUGAGUUGGGCACUCUAAGGUGACUGCCGGUGACAAACCGGAGGAAGGUGGGGAUGACAUCAAAUCAUCAUGCCCCUUAUGACCUGGGCUACACACGUGCUACAAUGGAUGGUACAAAGGGCAGCGAAACCGCGAGGUGAAGCCCAUCCCAUAAAGCCAUUCUCAGUUCGGAUUGCAGGCUGCAACUCGCCUGCAUGAAGCCGGAAUUGCUAGUAAUCGCGGAUCAGCAUGCCGCGGUGAAUACUUUCCUCCGCGUCUUGUACACACCCGCCCCCGUCAUCA
RNAcentral lists this ribosomal RNA (852 nucleotides) under Bacillus sp. VK_1_536F. RNAcentral's name for it is "bacterial SSU rRNA". It matches the Rfam family "Bacterial small subunit ribosomal RNA", at positions 554 to 1402 of the family's 1533-position model. The record is from RNAcentral. Lineage: Bacteria; Bacillati; Bacillota; Bacilli; Caryophanales; Bacillaceae.